GAGGGGCAGCGGGGUAGUGCUUGCACUACUGCCGGCGACCGGCGCACGGGUGAGUAACACGUAUGGAACCUGCCCGCAGCAGGGGGAUAAGCGGAAGAAAUUCCGUCUAAUACCGCGUAAGAACGUUGGGAGGCAUCUCCCGAUGUUUAAAGAUUUAUCGGCUGCGGAUGGCCAUGCGGCGCAUUAGCUAGUCGGCGGGGUAACGGCCCACCGAGGCGACGAUGCGUAGGGGUUCUGAGAGGAAGGUCCCCCACACUGGUACUGAGACACGGACCAGACUCCUACGGGAGGCAGCAGUGAGGAAUAUUGGUCAAUGGCCGAGAGGCUGAACCAGCCAAGUCGCGUGAGGGAAGACGGCCCUACGGGUUGUAAACCUCUUUUGUCGGGGAGCAAAGCGAACCACGUGUGGUUCAUUGAGAGUACCCGAAGAAAAAGCAUCGGCUAACUCCGUGCCAGCAGCCGCGGUAAUACGGAGGAUGCGAGCGUUAUCCGGAUUUAUUGGGUUUAAAGGGUGCGCAGGCGGAGGUGCAAGUCAGCGGUCAAAUUGCGGGGCUCAACCCCGUACUGCCGUUGAAACUGCAUCCCUUGAGUGCGCGAGAAGUAUGCGGAAUGCGUGGUGUAGCGGUGAAAAUGCAUAGAUAUCACGCAGAACUCCGAUUGCGAAGGCAGCAUACCGGCGCGCAACUGACGCUCAUGCACGAAAGCGUGGGUAUCGAACAGGAUUAGAUACCCUGGUAGUCCACGCAGUAAACGAUGAACACUAACUGUUCGGCCAGAAUGAUGGCUGAGUGGUACAGCGAAAGCGUUAAGUGUUCCACCUGGGGAGUACGCCGGCAACGGUGAAACUCAAAGGAAUUGACGGGGGCCCGCACAAGCGGAGGAACAUGUGGUUUAAUUCGAUGAUACGCGAGGAACCUUACCCGGGCUCAAACGACACAGGAAUACUUUUGAAAGGAGGUAGCCCUACGGGGUCUGUGUCGAGGUGCUGCAUGGUUGUCGUCAGCUCGUGCCGUGAGGUGUCGGCUUAAGUGCCAUAACGAGCGCAACCCCUAUCGCCAGUUACCAUCAAGUAAAGUUGGGGACUCUGGCGAGACUGCCGGCGCAAGCUGAGAGGAAGGCGGGGAUGACGUCAAAUCAGCACGGCCCUUACGUCCGGGGCGACACACGUGUUACAAUGGCAGGUACAGAGAGAAGCCAGGUGGUGACACCGAGCGGAACUCGAAAGCCUGUCUCAGUUCGGAUCGGAGUCUGCAACCCGACUCCGUGAAGCUGGAUUCGCUAGUAAUCGCGCAUCAGC
RNAcentral lists this ribosomal RNA (1297 nucleotides) under uncultured bacterium. RNAcentral's name for it is "bacterial SSU rRNA". It matches the Rfam family "Bacterial small subunit ribosomal RNA", at positions 64 to 1353 of the family's 1533-position model. The record is from RNAcentral.